Molecule: ribosomal RNA, 565 nt
Filed under: uncultured bacterium
Lineage: Bacteria
Description: bacterial SSU rRNA
Rfam family: Bacterial small subunit ribosomal RNA
Source: RNAcentral
GAAUAUUGGACAAUGGGCGCAAGCCUGAUCCAGCAAUGCCGCGUGUGUGAAGAAGGCCUGCGGGUUGUAAAGCACUUUCAAUUGUGAAGAACAGUCUAAGGUUAAUAACCUUGGACCGUGACGUUAACUGUAGAAGAAGCACCGGCUAACUCCGUGCCAGCAGCCGCGGUAAUACGGAGGGUGCGAGCGUUGAUCGGAAUUACUGGGCGUAAAGAGUACGUAGGUGGUUUGGUAAGUCGGAUGUGAAAGCCCUGGGCUCAACCUGGGAACUGCAUUCGAUACUGCCAGCCUAGAGUAUAGUAGAGGGAAGUGGAAUUCCGGGUGUAGCGGUGAAAUGCGUAGAUAUCCGGAGGAACACCAGUGGCGAAGGCGGCUUCCUGGACUAAUACUGACACUGAGGUACGAAAGCGUGGGGAGCAAACAGGAUUAGAUACCCUGGUAGUCCACGCCCUAAACGAUGUCAACUAGCCGUUGGAGGAAUUUAAUCCUUUAGUAGCGCAGCUAACGCGAUAAGUUGACCGCCUGGGGAGUACGGUCGCAAGAUUAAAACUCAAAGGAAUUGACG